GAUGAACGCUGGCGGCGUGCCUAAUACAUGCAAGUCGAGCGAACAGACCGGGAGCUUGCUCCUCUGACGUUAGCGGCGGACGGGUGAGUAACACGUGGAUAACAUACCUAUAAGACUGGGAUAACUUCAGCAAACCGGAGCUAAUACCGGAUAACAUGUUGAACCGCAUGGUUUAACAGUUAGAUUCGGUCUUUGUUUGGCUUAUAGCUUGAUCCGCGCCGCAUUAGCUAGUUGGUAAGGUAAAGGCUUACCAAGGCAACGAUGCGUAGCCGGCCUGAGAGGGUGAUCGGCCACACUGGCACUGAGACACGGCCCAGACUCCUACGGGAGGCAGCAGUAGGGACUCCUCCGCAAUGGGCGAGAGCCUGACAGAGCAACGCCGCGUGAGUGAAGAAGGUCCUAGGAUCGUAAAGCUCUGUUAUUAGGGAAGAACAAAUGUGUAAGUAACUAUGCACGUAUUGACGGUACCUAAUCAGAAAGCCACGGCUAACUACGUG
Molecule: ribosomal RNA, 497 nt
Filed under: uncultured bacterium
Lineage: Bacteria
Description: partial 16S ribosomal RNA
Rfam family: Bacterial small subunit ribosomal RNA
Source: RNAcentral